UUGUCGUGGUGGUAGGGCUCAGUAGUCACAUUUUUCUGUGGCGAAGCUAAGUAUCCCAGGCGGGUGAUUGCUAGAGAUCAUGGCCUUAGCCCAUAAAGUCUGAUCCGUGCUGCCCGAUUUCAGUAAAUCUGGUUCAAAGGAUGCCGUUAUCAGUCAUAUGCUUCAUGGAGUAGAGAAAUCCGAAAGGGUUGUUUCUCUGGGAAAUUUUCAUGGUAGAAGAUUUGGGACGUGAAAUAAGAGAAUGGGCCACCGCUGCCCUAGCGAGGACCACCUGAGCGAGUACGUUUUUACGACUGUCUUAACGUGCGAGCACGCGUUUUCGUUUUAUUUGAGAAAUAUCUUACUCACCCUGUAUAUAUAUGUACAUGUUCAUGGAGGGAACCAUGAGGGAACUAUAAUCAGAUAGUACCACAAUUCGACACGAUGUGGCAGCACUUAUUAGUCACUUGUAUGUGCAUGUGGAACAACUAUUAUAAAUAAAACCAAAUCGAAUUAAAAUUUAUAUCCAAGUGAAUCAAAUGAUUAUGUACGGGUAACAUGGUGUACCCUAAUUCAACAAAUUCUGUGACUCAGAAAUUAUGGAUGGAGAUAUCGACACACUACCCAUUAAAAUCGAACCCAAACAAGAAGAAGAAAUCCAUUCCUUUCUCCAGGGCCACGCUUCAGUAAGUAACGAAGUUUUGGUGACAGUAAAGAAUGAAAUUACCUCGAAAAUUACGAUUAGUACACCAUGUUCAAAAUCCCUUUAUAAUGAAGAAGUACAACACUCCAACUUUCGGCACCUUUUAACUUUUAAAACAGUGCCUAAAGAUUUUAAAUGUGCUGAUUGUGACUAUGAGACAAAUGUUAAAAAGUGCUUGAAACAACACCUUUUAACACAUAAAGUUUCUAAGGAUUUUA
Long non-coding RNA from Photinus pyralis (common eastern firefly), 900 nucleotides. RefSeq lists it as uncharacterized. The transcript is spliced from 3 exons. NCBI's taxonomy places the organism in Eukaryota, Metazoa, Arthropoda, Insecta, Coleoptera, Lampyridae. The record is from RefSeq and is a predicted model, not a curated record.